CUAGGGCUAGGCCGGCGCUUUUCUCUUCGCCUGGAUCCCGUGAGUCCCCUUUCCUUCGCGCCAAAUCAACUUCUUCCCGCGCCAGAGCCAAAUUCCUGAACCUCCUCUAAAAAUCGAGCGCCCCGCGUCAAAUCCCCCAAUUCCCCAAAAAUCGAGCCCCCACUCAAGAACCCUAGAGGCCCAGCCCGCCACCGCCCUCUGCGAGAUGACCGGAAAAUCCAAGAGGACAACUGCACCGGUGCCUCUGGAGUUCCCAUGGCCGACGGCUCAGCCCGUCCCGCUGCCAGCAGCUCACCCCGUCCCGCCUCCGGCCGCUCAAUCUGGCGCUCCACUGCCGGCCAUCCCUUCCAUGUUUGCAACUGGGUCAUGGUUACCAGCGCAACCACCACAGUCCAUGGCGGCCACCACUCCACCGUGUUGGCUCCCUGGGGUACCUCAACCGGGCGAUUUGUAAGCUCAAGGCCCAUGGUGGACACCGCCCACUGGAAUUGGAGUCUCAGCACAAUCUACACCCACGGCUGGGAAUCUUGAUGCGUACAAUCUGCAAGCUUGGGGAUUGGAUUCUCACCCGCCUGGUGAUUUCCUUGGUUUCUUUACAAACACAUCAAGCCACAAACAAAAUGUGGAAAAUGGGACUUCAUCGCAGCCAAUCAAAGUUAGUGAUGACACCAAUGGUGACAACCGUGCAAGGACUGAAAAACAUUUGCUAUGGACAAAAGAGGAGGAUCUUAGAUUGGUCAGUGCUUGGUUGAAUAAUUCAAACGACCCAAUCCAAUCAAAUUAUAGGAAGAACGAGCAAUAUUGGAAAGAGGUUGCUACUUGCGACGCCCCACACAGGAGGAUGUCGAGCGUCUACUUCAGGUUAACGAGUCUCGUGGGUUCCCUGGAAUUCUAGGAAGUAUUGAUUGCAUGCACUGGCGAUGGGAAAAGUGUCCUCUAGCAUGGAGGGGGCAAUUCACCCGUGGGGAUUAUGGAGUUCCAACAAUGGUCCUAGAAGCCGUUGCUUCCCAGGACCUUCAUAUUUGGCAUGCUUUCUUUGGAGUUGCUGGGUCAAACAACGAUCUUAAUGUGCUCAACUAGUCCUCGUUGUUUUUCGAUGCAUUGAAAGGAGAAGCCCCUCAAGUUCAGUUUUCUGUAAAUGGGAAUGAGUAUACCACGGGUUACUACCUUGCUGAUGGUAUAUACCCAGAGUGGGCUGCCUUCAUGAAGACUAUACCACUUCCCCAAACAGAGGAGCACAAGUUGUUUGCCCAGUUCCAAGAAGCGCCGAGGAAAGAUGUGGAGCGUGCUUUCGGGGUAUUGCAGUCCCGUUUUACCGUUGUCCGGCGGCCUGCAUGUCUAUGGAAGAGAAAGAGUGUUGGAAGGAUCAUGCUAGCUUGUGUUAUUCUUCACAAUAUGAUAGUCGAAGAUGAGAAAGAGCAGGCUACCAUUCAUAUUGACUUGAAUGAGAAUCCAGGAGCACCAAUUGCUCUACCUCCUGAAGUUAAUGUUGGUGGUAAUCUAUGUUUCGCUGAUGUGCUACGUAGAAAAGCCAAAAUCCGUGCUCGUCCACAACAUACCCAGCUUAAAAAUGAUUUGAUUCAGCAUAUUUGGCAUAAGUUUUGAAAUAACCAUCAUAAUUAGUCAUGGACUAUGCCAUGAUGUGGUGAUUGCUGCAGGUUCUACCUACAGGUUGUUGUUGUUGCUGUUCCUUCUACCGAUGCUCCAACUAUGGCUUUGUGGCUUUAUCAUCUUCAAGAUCAAAUUGAUGUCUUGUUUGCUGGACACCGUAUCUGUUAUUUUGUUUGGUCCAUGCUUUCUUCUAAAGAGUCAUGUACUGUUUAAUUGUCAAUGUCAAUGGUGCUAAGUAUUAUGUUUGGAUAUACUCAAUGUUGAAGAGUUGGUAUGGUCUAUGAAACAUAUGUUUGUUGUUUCUUAUGAAUCAGUUUGCCUUGUUAUAUAUUCAUGGUGUGGCUGG
Non-coding RNA from Lolium perenne, 1957 nucleotides. The record is from RefSeq and is a predicted model, not a curated record. Lineage: Eukaryota; Viridiplantae; Streptophyta; Magnoliopsida; Poales; Poaceae.